RNAcentral lists this ribosomal RNA (592 nucleotides) under Hansenula anomala. RNAcentral's name for it is "Wickerhamomyces anomalus partial large subunit ribosomal RNA". It matches the Rfam family "Eukaryotic large subunit ribosomal RNA", at positions 66 to 664 of the family's 3401-position model. Lineage: Eukaryota; Fungi; Ascomycota; Saccharomycetes; Phaffomycetales; Wickerhamomycetaceae. The record is from RNAcentral.
CAACAGGGCAUUGCCUCAGUACGGCGAGUGAAGCGGCAAAAGCUCAAAUUCUGAAAUCUAGCACCUUCGGUGUUCGAGUUGUAAUUUGAAGAUGGUAACCUUGGGUUUGGCUCUUGUCUAUGUUCCUUGGAACAGGACGUCAUAGAGGGUGAGAAUCCCGUCUGAUGAGAUGCCCAUUCCUAUGUAAGGUGCUAUCGAAGAGUCGAGUUGUUUGGGAAUGCAGCUCUAAGUGGGUGGUAAAUUCCAUCUAAAGCUAAAUAUUGGCGAGAGACCGAUAGCGAACAAGUACAGUGAUGGAAAGAUGAAAAGAACUUUGAAAAGAGAGUGAAAAAGUACGUGAAAUUGUUGAAAGGGAAGGGCAUUAGAUCAGACUUGGUGUUUUACGAUUAUCUUCUCUUCUUGAGUUGUGCACUCGUAUUUCACUGGGCCAGCAUCGAUUCGGAUGGCAAGAUAAUGGCAGUUGAAUGUGGCUUCACUUCGGUGGAGUGUUAUAGCUUCUGCUGAUAUUGCCUGUCUGGAUCGAGGGCUGCGUCUUUUGACUAGGAUGCUGGCGUAAUGAUCUAAUGCCGCCCGUCUGAAAAACACGGGACCA